Molecule: long non-coding RNA, 856 nt
Organism: Hordeum vulgare subsp. vulgare (domesticated barley)
Lineage: Eukaryota; Viridiplantae; Streptophyta; Magnoliopsida; Poales; Poaceae
Exons: 2
Source: RefSeq, a predicted model, not a curated record
CGCCGCAGACGACGAUGGCCGGGUACGCGCAGGGCGACCGGCACCACGCCGCGUCCAACGGGGCGAGGCCCGGCGCAGCAGGUCAGGCAGAGGCCAGGGAGAAGAGCAACGCGAGGUGUGAGGCUCAGCGUACAGCUAGCUAGCAGUGGGCUAUGGGAGAAGAUGAAGGCACAAACCCUAUAGGCUGCCUGCAGAAAUUCAACCGUUUCCUGUGAAAUCCAUGUCCUAAGUAGGAACAUGCCCUACUAAGUAUUGUUUCUUCUGGAAUAAAACAUAGGUUCCGUUGUUACUUCAUCUUUUUUUGUGCUUUUCUUCUGCCUGAGCAGGAUGACGAAAGUUCAAAGUGCAAAGCCUCAGCUCUGUAUAACUUAGCUGGUGAUGUUCUAAGCCAUGCUUGUCGAUUUAAGCAGCUGGUCAUCCUGGUAGAACUUCAGUUGCUUUCACUGCUAUCCAUUUCGGAAAAAACGCAUAGGGAUUAAAAACACAUGAACAGACAGUGGCUUUUUUUUUAAUGCGUGAUUUUGUUUUAGGGAAGCAUCACUUUUUUCUUUUGUUGAACCUGAGGGAAGCAUCACUUAAGGAGACAAAGAGAGGUAUUGCCGUCAUGCAUGCCUCAGAUGAAAUCAAUAGUAAUAAGUAAAUCUAUGUCGGCACAAACUGGGGCUGACUAAGAAUAGCAAAGCGCUGAGACCAAUUGGAUCAAACUGAGGGUCAUUGUUCAUUCAAGAUGACAGAAAUAAAUGUGUCAAAUAUUUGGUAUCAACACUUGGAUGGAGACGCAAGUGACAUUUGAUAUUUCUGAAAGGAACAGAACAUUAGGCUUCCUUCUGCUACAACACCAAAAAGAAACUGAAAA